RNAcentral lists this ribosomal RNA (253 nucleotides) under uncultured bacterium. RNAcentral's name for it is "partial 16S ribosomal RNA". It matches the Rfam family "Bacterial small subunit ribosomal RNA", at positions 524 to 776 of the family's 1533-position model. The record is from RNAcentral.
UACAGAGGUCUCAAGCGUUGUUCGGAUUCAUUGGGCGUAAAGGGUGCGUAGGCGGCGCGGUAAGUCGGGUGUGAAAUCUCGGAGCUUAACUCCGAAACUGCAUUCGAUACUGCCGUGCUUGAGGACUGGAGAGGAGACUGGAAUGGUCGGUGUAGCGGUGAAAUGCGUAGAGAUCGACCAGAACACCGGUGGCGAAGGCGGGUCUCUGGACAGUUCCUGACGCUCAGGCACGAAAGCCAGGGGAGCAAACGGG